Molecule: RNA transcript, 3271 nt
Organism: Prionailurus viverrinus (fishing cat)
Lineage: Eukaryota; Metazoa; Chordata; Mammalia; Carnivora; Felidae
Gene: CLEC1A
Gene name: C-type lectin domain family 1 member A
Exons: 7
Source: RefSeq, a predicted model, not a curated record
UGUGUGAUUAUAAGGUCUUGCCCCCCCCCCCCUUUUUUACACUGUACUCACACAGGAAGUAUAAAUACGUGAACAAAAGGGAUCCGAGAAGUGCAACCCUUCGAAAAUUGUUCAGACGGAGACCGCCCAAAUGAAAAACACAUGCUACUUCCCCUCUGCCUGAGCAAUUUGGCAUUCCGCGUACAAGUUCCCAGGAGGGGGGCUGGGCCUCUCCAGGCAGGAACUGGAGCCAGAGGCUUCCCCUGAUACUGGCUGGGAUAGAAGAACAUCAGGAAUGACUUUCAGUGCAGUAGUUCCUGUGGUGCUCGCAGAAGCCACGCGGCUUGGGUGCAAUCAAACUGCGGCCCAGCCUCAUCCCUGCAGGAAUCCAGAUGCAGGCCAAGUACAGCAGCACAAGGGACAUGCUGGAUGACGAUGGGGACACGGUCGUGAGUGUGCAUUCUCGAGCCUCGUCUCCAAGCCAGCAGCCAGAGGCUGGACGCAAAGGGCACCGGCCUCCCUCUUCAGUUUGGCGACCAGUGGCCCUGACCCUGCUGACUCUGUGUUUGGUGCUGCUGCUUGGCCUGUUGGCCCUGGGGCUUGCGUUUUUCCAGUUCUACCAGCUUUCCAACACUCAGCAAGACAGCAUUUCUAACAAGGAAGAAAGAUUGGCGAAUCUCUCCCGACAGCUGCAGUCUCUCCAGACAAAGAACAGGAAGCUUGCAGAAAUUCUGCAGCGCGUGGCUGAAAAACUGUGUCGUGAGCUCUAUAACAAAACUGGAGAACACAGAUGCAGCCCUUGUCCAGAAAAAUGGAAAUGGCAUGGGGACAAAUGCUACCGAUUCUGUAGAGACAGCAAGAGUUGGCAAGGCUGUGAAUAUUUCUGCAUUGCAGAGAACGCCACCAUGCUGAAGAUAAACACGCAGGAAGUGCUGGAGUUUGCCAUGCCUCAGAGCUACUCUGAGUUUUUCUACUCUUAUUGGACAGGGCUAUCCCGCAAUGGCAGCAGACAGGCGUGGCUAUGGACCGAUGGAACCCCGUAUUCCUCUGAACUGUUUGAGAUUAUAAUAGAUUUCACCAGCCUAAGAAGCAGGGACUGUGUGACCAUCCUCAAUGGGAAGGCUUUCUCAAAGGACUGCAAAGAGUUGAGGCGGUGUGCGUGUGAAAGACGGGCUGCAGCAGUGAAGCUUGAGAGCCUCCAUUAGCCUCUCUGAGCCAUUACGUGGAGGUGAUGGACUCUUCCGCCAUAAAGGUGAUGUCAAGCUCCCUUCAGGGAAAUUGAAGAUCAGAACAAAAGUCAAUUUCUUUAUGGGCACCUGUAAUAAUUUGGUUUCAGUUCCUUUUUUUCUCCCAUUGGAGCCAUGUUUGUACAACAAAGCAGCAAAAUGAUUUGAGCCAAGCAAGGUCAUUGCAAAGGAUAUUCGAGACGUUGGAAAAUGGGAAAAAAGGAGGAAAGGCAGUUUCUCUGACAGGUACAAGAAGCACUUUCCUGUUUCCUGCUCAAGAUCGCCAGCAUUUCUGAGCUUGGGUUCACGCAAAUGUUUAUGAGUCACAAAGAAGUCCUAUCUGCAUACCACCCACCAGUCGCAGACUUUCGUAAAGUUGUAAUCUACCUUCUUGACCUAGAGAUGCUUUCCAGCGUUCUUCCUUCUCAUCAUCUAAUAUCAUCUGCCUUUUUCCAUGUCUUCCUUAAUAUUUGGAGAAGUGAGAAACUUACUGAAGUAGAGGAAAUAAAGUGUCUCCAAUUUUGAUGUGAAUGUGCUACGGGUGAUGGCAGCAGGACUGAGAAGGAUGAAAACUUGGAAGCCAUGAAGCUACCCUUCAAUGACCUCAGCUUUGGUUCCAAUAAAAAGCCUGUGAAGCUAUCAUUGCUGGUUCUGUCUUCUGGAAAAACUCUGAGGUAUAAAAUAAAAGGAACAUCUGAAUUCCCUCAGGUUUCUAAUUUUUCUUGUAACAAUUCCCUCAGACACUUACAGGUCAGGGGGAGGAGCGGAGCCAUCUUGCCAAAGCCACGAUCUGCUGAGACCAUCCUGAGACAAUCCCACCCAGUAAUCAUAGCCACUUUUGAUCUUCCUCAGGCUGCCAGUGAUAAAGUCCUAGAAGCAACAAGACCUCAACAGUGAACUAGGGGGAAAACAGCAACAAACUAUGAUGAAAUAUAAAGUGUGACAUUUUGCCUAGAUGGAAAUUGAGAAAGAAUAAGACAGAGAUGGUUUUAAAAGAAGGGAUACAUUUCAUAGAUUUGUUUUUAUUGUCGUACGAUAGAUGGGGUCUUAAGGACUAUAAGGAAAAUAAGCAUCUGGCAAUAAAAUAAUCUUAACAGAUUCCGAGUUUGACAGUUAAUACAUGUCAAAACAAGGUGUGAUACUAAUGAGGAAGAGUAGAAAUAUCCUUGACAUCAUAGACCGCAUAGAUCAUUCUUUCCCAGUAUACUUCAAUACGAGAAAUAAUUUAGAAGAUUCCAGAGGCAACUUAACUGUAGGGGUAUUCUGUUAGAAAAAAACAUGACUAGCUUUUGUCACCAAAUUUGCACAGAAAAAAUAGUGGAAGCCUAUAACUGUAGUGAGUUCAAGUUGUCUUGGUUUCCUGCGUGUCCUUAACAUAUCGUUAAAUGGUUCUCUCAUUAUUCUUGGAAAAUUGAAAGUUAGCUAAUUAUUGAGUAUAGCAAGCAUACAUUUUUAAUGAGGUCAGAAAUGUGUCAACUCUGUAUUCUACUUCAUACAUAUUUCCAUAAAUAUGUAAAAUGAUUUCAGGGAAACACUGCUUGUUAAGAUGGUAGUAAACCAGACUAAACGUUUCAUUUAGCAAAUGCUUAUUUUCAUAGACCUCUCCAUUUCAUGACGUCACUUCCCUUUUUAUACUUCCGCUUUUCCUUGGUAAUUACAGAGCUGUGAUUGGUUGUUAUACUUCCCUACAGCAUUGAAAGCGAUGACUCUGAACCACACACAACUGUAAUAUACGUACAUCUUGGAGUGGAUCAACAAGUCAUAAAAUAGUAUUUCCUUUACCGCCUCGCCUUUUUGAUGAACAAAGGACAUACAGCUAACAUAUUCUCGUUGAUUUCUGGAUAGCUUCCUGCUUUUGUUUUGUUUGUCUAAUUAAAGGGAAAACAAACUUUGGUAAUUCCCACUCCGUCUCUUUGAAACCUUUGUUACGUACAACAAAUAUACUACUCUUGUAGAAUAUUAAGGAGUCCUGUCUUCUUAGAAUCAGUCCUUUCUUUUAACGUAUCAGGGUAUUUUCAGAAUGAUAGGAAACCACGAGAUAGUGUUUACCAUUUCCUCUUUGCUGU